This 686-nucleotide ribosomal RNA is filed under the name uncultured Nitrososphaerota archaeon. Its description in RNAcentral is "bacterial SSU rRNA". It matches the Rfam family "Archaeal small subunit ribosomal RNA", at positions 69 to 758 of the family's 1478-position model. Lineage: Archaea; Thermoproteati; Nitrososphaerota. The record is from RNAcentral.
UAGCAAUACGUGGCAUACGGCUCAGUAACACGUAGUCAACAUGCCCAGGGGACGUGGAUAACCUCGGGAAACUGAGGAUAAACCACGAUAGGUCAUAAUAUCUGGAAUGAUUUAUGGCUAAAAUCUACAUGGCCCCUGGAUUGGACUGCGGCCGAUCAGGCUGUUGGUGAGGUAAUGGCCCACCAAACCUAAAACCGGUACGGGCUCUGAGAGGAGAAGCCCGGAGAUGGGCACUGAGACAAGGGCCCAGGCCCUAUGGGGCGCAGCAGGCGCGAAAACUCUGCAAUAAGCGAAAGCUUGACAGGGUUAUUCUGAGUGAUUUCCGCUAAGGAAAUCUUUUGGCACCUCUAAAAAUGGUGCAGAAUAAGGGGUGGGCAAGCCUGGUGUCAGCCGCCGCGGUAAUACCAGCACCCCGAGUGGUCGGGACGAUUAUUGGGCCUAAAGCAUCCGUAGCCGGUUCUACAAGUCUUCCGUUAAAUCCAUCUGCUUAACAGAUGGGCUGCGGAGGAUACUAUGGAGCUAGGAGGCGGGAGAGGCAAGCGGUACUUAGUGGGUAGGGGUAAAAUCCGUUGAUCCACUGAAGACCACCAGUGGCGAAGGCGGCUUGCCAGAACGCGCUCGACGGUGAGGGAUGAAAGCUGGGGGAGCAAACCGGAUUAGAUACCCGGGUAGUCCCAGCUGUAAAC